AGGCACCAGUGGGGAAUAUUGGGCAAUGGAGGGAACUCUGACCCAGCGACGCCGCGUGCGGGAUGAAGGCCUUCGGGUUGUAAACCGCUUUCAGCAAGGAAGAAGCGAAAGUGACGGUACUUGCAGAAGAAGCACCGGCUAACUAUGUGCCAGCAGCCGCGGUAAUACAUAGGGUGCAAGCGUUGUCCGGAAUUAUUGGGCGUAAAGAGCUCGUAGGUGGUUCGUCACGUCGGAUGUGAAAAUCUGGGGCUUAACCCCAGACCUGCAUUCGAUACGGGCGAGCUAGAGUGUGGUAGGGGAGACUGGAAUUCCUGGUGUAGCGGUGGAAUGCGCAGAUAUCAGGAGGAACACCAAUGGCGAAGGCAGGUCUCUGGGCCAUUACUGACACUGAGGAGCGAAAGCGUGGGGAGCGAACAGGAUUAGAUACCCCCGUAGUCCGG
Molecule: ribosomal RNA, 440 nt
Filed under: actinobacterium SCGC AAA044-L11
Lineage: Bacteria; Bacillati; Actinomycetota; Actinomycetes
Description: bacterial SSU rRNA
Rfam family: Bacterial small subunit ribosomal RNA
Source: RNAcentral